GUGGGUCACGGGCUCGGGUCAGGGAGACUCAUAUAAGGUAAAGAAAGCUGUGAAACUUCAGCAGAACCACGUCCAGCAGAACGCUCCCUCUCUCUCACAUUCACACAGACUCUCCAGCAGAAGAUCCAGAGCCCAGAGAGAAAGAGUCUACUCUAUUCUAUUCUAUUCUAUUCUAUUCUAUUCUAUUCUUCAUCUCAGUCACAUUCCAGUCGUGACUCUUCUUUUCUUUCCAAAACAAAAGACAGAAAAGAAAAGAAUCUUUAUCAGCCCAGAGCACCAAGCUCUCAGUAUUCAGAGUGUCAGCUGGGUGUGGACGAUGGUACUCUACAUGCCUGAGGUGCUCGCAGCAGUUUCUGGAGAUUCAGGACGAUCUCGGGAGUCCCUGGAGUCCUGGGGUUCCCGGCCGAAGAUGGGAGAUGUAUGGGGGUUUAUUACAGCCUGAUCAGAAGUGUCCUCAGGCCCACGGUGCAGUGCUGCAUCUCUGGUCAACUGGGAGUCUGAGAUGAAGCACUGUAGCUCGGGAAUGGGGGAGUGGCUACAGCUAACACAUAAAUAUAUUUAUUAUUUUUUAUCAUAUUUACUAAUUGAGAAUUACAGUUUAUUUUAUAUGUGUAUUAGUGUGUAUGUGUGUUUAAUUUAUUCCAGUUCAAUUAUAACUGUAAAUACAGGUGUUGGAGAAUGAAGCUGAAACACCUGGUUUUAGAGCACAAUAAUUGAUUGUGGUGACGGACAGUUCUGGUGGAAACAGGAGAGUUGAGGUGCACAUUGAAUUCUGUCUGAUUUGAUCAGCCGUGGUUUUAUGUUUUUUGGAUACAAUCCGGGUUAGCACCCGAACAUCCCUUUCAGACAGCUUCCUCUUACAGCGUCCACAGUUAAUCCUGUUGGAUGUGGUCGGUUCUUCUUGGUGGUAUGCUGACAUUACCCUGGAUACCGUGGCUCUUGAUGCAUCACAAAGACUUGCUGUCUUGGUCACAGAUGCUCCAGCAAGACGUGCACCAACAAUUUGUCCUCUUUUGAACUCUGGUAUGUCUCCCAUAAUGUUGUGUGCAUUGUAAUAUUUAGAGCAGAACUGUGCUCUUACCCUGAUAAUUGAACCUUCACACUCUGCUCUUACUGGUGCAAUGUGCAAUUAAUGAAGAUUGAACACCAGGCUGCUCCAAUUUAGCCAUAAACCUCACUAACCAACACUAAAAUGAUGACAGGUGUUUCAGUUUCAUUGUCCAAACCCCUGUAGUUACAGUUAUUGAUGUCCUAACAGUUGUUGUUGUUGUUAUUUGUUGGUUUGUUGUUUGUUUAUUUCUGUGGAAGAUGCUCCUCCCUGUCCCCGGGGUCCAGUUUUCCCAGGAAUCCCUUGCAGAGUCACAUGGGGGAUUCCUGGAAAUACUGUUCUUGGGGGCGGGGUUACACAACGUGAAUAUAUUUAUUAAAGAAAAUGUUUGAUAUGAAGUUUACAGAAAUAUGCUCAUAUGACUCAUUAAUGAAUAAUGAUGUGUGAGAACUGAAAUUCUAAAUAUUCUACAUCCUGUGGAAACCCUAAAGGGUAGAGUAAAAAAUAAAAAGAUAAUAUUUCAAA
Astyanax mexicanus (Mexican tetra) is the source of this 1573-nucleotide long non-coding RNA. RefSeq lists it as uncharacterized. NCBI's taxonomy places the organism in Eukaryota, Metazoa, Chordata, Actinopteri, Characiformes, Acestrorhamphidae. The record is from RefSeq and is a predicted model, not a curated record. The transcript has 3 exons.